This 468-nucleotide ribosomal RNA is filed under the name uncultured bacterium. RNAcentral's name for it is "partial 16S ribosomal RNA". It matches the Rfam family "Bacterial small subunit ribosomal RNA", at positions 28 to 507 of the family's 1533-position model. The record is from RNAcentral.
GACGAACGCUGGCGGCGUGCUUAACACAUGCAAGUCGAACGGAAAGGCCCUGCUUUUGUGGGGUGCUCGAGUGGCGAACGGGUGAGUAACACGUGAGUAACCUGCCCUUGACUUUGGGAUAACUUCAGGAAACUGGGGCUAAUACCGGAUAGGAGCUCCUGCUGCAUGGUGGGGGUUGGAAAGUUUCGGCGGUUGGGGAUGGACUCGCGGCUUAUCAGCUUGUUGGUGGGGUAGUGGCUUACCAAGGCUUUGACGGGUAGCCGGCCUGAGAGGGUCACCGGCCACAUUGGGACUGAGAUACGGCCCAGACUCCUACGGGAGGCAGCAGUGGGGAAUAUUGCACAAUGGGCGGAAGCCUGAUGCAGCAACGCCGCGUGCGGGAUGAUGGCCUUCGGGUUGUAAACCGCUUUCGCCUGUGACGAAGCGUGAGUGACGGUAAUGGGUAAAGAAGCACCGGCUAACUACGUG